RNAcentral lists this ribosomal RNA (250 nucleotides) under uncultured bacterium. RNAcentral describes it as "partial 16S ribosomal RNA". It matches the Rfam family "Bacterial small subunit ribosomal RNA", at positions 90 to 354 of the family's 1533-position model. The record is from RNAcentral.
CUCUAGUGGCGCACGGGUGAGUAACACGUGAGUAACCUGCCCCCGAGAGCGGGAUAGCCCUGGGAAACUGGGAUUAAUACCGCAUAGUAUCGAAAGAUUAAAGCAGCAAUGCGCUUGGGGAUGGGCUCGCGGCCUAUUAGUUAGUUGGUGAGGUAACGGCUCACCAAGGCGAUGACGGGUAGCCGGUCUGAGAGGAUGUCCGGCCACACUGGAACUGAGACACGGUCCAGACACCUACGGGAGGCAGCAG